RNAcentral lists this ribosomal RNA (1528 nucleotides) under uncultured Bordetella sp. RNAcentral describes it as "partial 16S-23S ribosomal RNA intergenic spacer". It matches the Rfam family "Bacterial small subunit ribosomal RNA". Lineage: Bacteria; Pseudomonadati; Pseudomonadota; Betaproteobacteria; Burkholderiales; Alcaligenaceae. The record is from RNAcentral.
GGCGUUGCCAUUGCCCUGGCAUCAUAGCAACAGGAGAGUUCCGAUCUCCAGUCUGGGAUUGAAUCGCCGGUGGGACGCUUUGCCACGCAAGCCUGAACCAGCAAGUGUCGAGACUUCAGCCCAGAAAGAUGCAGCGAAAACGGUGAUAAUGUAUCGGAACGUGCCUAGUAGUGGGGAUAACUACGCGAAAGCGAGCUAAUACCGCAUACGCCCUUCGGGGAAAGCGGGGACCUUCGGGCCCGCACUAUUAGAGCGGCCGAUAUCGGAUUAGCUAGUUGGUGGGGUAACGGCUCACCGCGACGAUCCGUAGCUGGUUUGAGAGGACGACCAGCCACACUGGGACUGAGACACGGCCCAGACUCCUACGGGAGGCAGCAGUGGGGAAUUUUGACAAUGGGGAAACCCCGAUCCAGCCAUCCCGCGGCAGAUGAAGGGCCUCGGUGCCAAAGCACUUUGGCAGGGAAGAAAUGCGCGGAAGGAAUGUAAUUCCCAACCCUGACGGGCACCCAGAAUAAGCACCGGCUAACUACGUGCCAGCAGCCGCGGUAAUACGUAGGGUGCAAGCGUUAAUCGGAAUUCACAUUGGCACAGUGAAGCCGGAAAAGAAAGAGCUGAAAUCCCAGUAUUUAACUCUUAAAUCCAUUUCUUAAUCCGUCACGAGCUAGAGUGUAACAGGAGGGAGGUGGAAUUCCAAGUGCGUAGCAGUGAAAUGCGUAGAUAUGCGGAGGAACACCGAUGGCGAAGGCAGCCUCCUGGGAUAACACUGACGCUCAUGCACGAAAGCGUGGGAGCAAACAGGAUUAGAUACCCUGGUAGUCCACGCUCUAAACGAUGUCAACUAGUUGCUGGGGCCUUCGGCCUGGUAGCGCAGCUGUCGCGUGAAGUUGACCGCUCGGGGAGUACGGUCGCAAGAUUAAAACUCAAAGGAAUUGAUUUGGACCCGCACAAGCGGUGGAUGAUGUGAUUGUCUGGAUGCAACUGAAAACCUUGGCUUUACCCUUUGACGGCCUGGAAUCCGUAAAGAGAUUUGGGGAGUGCUCGUAAAGAGGACCGGAACACAGGUGUUGCAUGGCUGUCGUCAGCUCGUGUCGAGAUGUUGGGUUAAGUCCCGCAACGAGCGCAACCUUUGUCAUUAGUUGCUACGAGCGGGCACUCUGUAUCGAGACUGCCGGUGACAAACCGAGGAAGGUGGGGAUGACGUCAAGUCCCUAUGGCCCUUAUGGGUAGGGCUUCACACGUCAUACAAUGGCCGGGACAGAGGGUCACAACCCAGUUAUGGUGGUUUCAUAAUCUCAGAAACCCGAUCGUAGUCCGGAUCGGAGUCCGCAAACCUGACUGCGUGAAGUGGAAUCGCUAGUAAUCGCGGAUCAGCAUGUCGCGGAAUACGUUCCCGGUCUUGUACACACCGGCCCACACCAGCGGGAGUGGGUUUUACCUUGGUGAAGCAGGAAGUAGAAGGCCCAACCGUAAGGAGGGCGAUUACCACGGUAGGAUUCAUGACUGGGGUGAAGUCGUACUUCGAAGGUAG